This 1083-nucleotide long non-coding RNA is filed under the name Anas zonorhyncha (Eastern spot-billed duck). RNAcentral's name for it is "lncRNA (ENSAZOG00000002450.1)". Lineage: Eukaryota; Metazoa; Chordata; Aves; Anseriformes; Anatidae. The record is from RNAcentral.
GCAGCUUUUAUUUUGGUACUUGGUUUAAUGAGGUUUUUUGGAACAGCGGGGCAGGGGCAGCAUCCAUUCUUGCUGCUCAUCACAUAUUCAUUAUUUACAUUGCCGGUAUCCCCAGUAACUCGGCCCAGAAAACAAAUAAACAAAAGCUGAAGCGUACACAAAACAUCUGGAGGUGCUGCCGUUGCUCCCGAUUGCUCGCAAGGCACAAGGGCACGGCGAUGGAUAGGGCUCAUGUGCCUGCUGAGCCAAAUGGGGGGGGGUUGCCAGGGUGAGGACCCCAUCCAUGGUACCCCAUAGGGCUGGAGGUGCCCCUCUCUUGCUCAUAAAUGAGCCUCAUCAUUUGGAAAAAAAAAUAAUUAAAUAUAAUGACAUCAUUUCUAAUGGAUACGUGGAGUUUAAUUAAUCAUUUAUUUACUUUUCGUACAUUUGUUUUUGGCAUCUGAGGGGCACGUGGGGGGAGAUGCUGAGCGAAAGGCUUCGCCACCAGGCUGGGAGGAAUCAGAAGAAGCCCCCAGCCUCCUCCAGCCCCAGCCGGAUGGGUUCGAUCACCCCUUGACGCUGAGCCAAGAGGCGAUGCAGGGAGGUUUCUGGUCGGAGCGGGGAGGCAGCAGCCUUGGGAGCUCUUGGCCCCUGAUAGUAAAUACAGCUGGUCACAUUAGAGCUCUUGAAUAAUUUAUGGGAUGACUCUUCAAAAUAGUAAAUCCUCCCUCUCCCUUCCCCUCGAGCCUGCUCCAUCCUUCAUCAGAUGGUGUGGCUGGUGAGCAGUCUAUGAAUAUUUAAGGAGUUUUACUAAAUUCAUAGAACCUUGUAAAAAACGGUUUAAAAAUGUCGAGCGAAAUAUUUGCAUGUCGCGUUUCGCACCAGCUGCGCAGCUACAGGGGCAGGACAGGGGAGCCAAGUGAGCUGCGAGGGACCAGGGAGGCAGAAAUGAGAGGGAGACCCCAGCAGUGCCUGCAUCUCGGGAAGUAAAUGCUGUAUUUUAAAGAUUUUUUUGUGGUGAGCACAGAAAAUGCUGCCUUUGGGUUGGUCCUCCCCUGACUGCCUGCAAGCAGGGGCAGUCGAUGUGCUUGUGGGGAGAGGGUU